RNAcentral lists this ribosomal RNA (441 nucleotides) under uncultured Parabacteroides sp. RNAcentral's name for it is "bacterial SSU rRNA". It matches the Rfam family "Bacterial small subunit ribosomal RNA", at positions 354 to 794 of the family's 1533-position model. Lineage: Bacteria; Pseudomonadati; Bacteroidota; Bacteroidia; Bacteroidales; Tannerellaceae. The record is from RNAcentral.
UGGGGGAAUAUUGGUCAAUGGACGAGAGUCUGAACCAGCCAAGUCGCGUGAAGGAAGACGGAUCUAUGGUUUGUAAACUUCUUUAGUGCGGGAACAAAGCGGCGUCGUGACGCCGGAUGAGUGUACCGCAAGAAUAAGCAUCGGCUAACUCCGUGCCAGCAGCCGCGGUAAUACGGAGGAUGCGAGCGUUAUCCGGAUUUAUUGGGUUUAAAGGGUGCGCAGGCGGCGUGCCAAGUCAGCGGUCAAAGUUCCGGGCUCAACCCGGUGAUGCCGUUGAAACUGGUGUGCUUGAGUGCGUGCGAGGGAGGCGGAAUGCGUUGUGUAGCGGUGAAAUGCAUAGAUAUGACGCAGAACUCCGAUUGCGAAGGCAGCUUUCCAGCACGCCACUGACGCUGAGGCACGAAAGCGUGGGGAUCGAACAGGAUUAGAUACCCUGGUAGU